This 45-nucleotide non-coding RNA is filed under the name Echinostoma caproni. Lineage: Eukaryota; Metazoa; Platyhelminthes; Trematoda; Plagiorchiida; Echinostomatidae. The record is from RNAcentral.
GCACUGCUGAUGAGUGCCAAACAGGACGAAACAGCUGUCUAAGAC